Molecule: ribosomal RNA, 406 nt
Filed under: uncultured bacterium
Lineage: Bacteria
Description: partial 16S ribosomal RNA
Rfam family: Bacterial small subunit ribosomal RNA
Source: RNAcentral
AUUGAACGCUGGCGGCAGGCCUAACACAUGCAAGUCGAACGAGUGGCGGACGGGUGAGUAAUGUCUGGGAAACUGCCUGAUGGAGGGGGAUAACUACUGGAAACGGUAGCUAAUACCGCAUACCAUCAGAUGUGCCCAGAUGGGAUUAGCUAGUUGGUGGGGUAACGGCUCACCAAGGCGACGAUCCCUAGCUGGUCUGAGAGGAUGACCGGCCACAUUUGAAAGUGAACACGGUCCAGACUCAUAGGGGAGGCGGCAGUGGGGAAUAUUGCACAAUGGGCGCAAGCCUGAUGCAGCCAUGCCGCGUGUAUGAAGAAAGACUUCGGGUUGUAAAGUACUGUCAGCGGGGAGGCGUUACCCGCAGAAGAAGCACCGGCUAACUCCGUGCCAGCAGCCGCGGUAAUAC